UACGUAGGUGGCAAGCGUUGUCCGGAUUUAUUGGGUUUAAAGGGUGCGUAGGCGGCUUUGUAAGUCAGUGGUGAAAUAUGGCAGCUCAACUGUCAAGGUGCCAUUGAUACUGCAGAGCUUGAGUACAGAUGAGGUAGGCGGAAUUGACGGUGUAGCGGUGAAAUGCAUAGAUAUUAUCAAGAACACCGAUUGCGAAGGCAGCUUACUAAGGAGUUACUGACACUGAGGCACGAAAGCGUGGGGAUCAAACAGG
Molecule: ribosomal RNA, 253 nt
Filed under: uncultured bacterium
Lineage: Bacteria
Description: partial 16S ribosomal RNA
Rfam family: Bacterial small subunit ribosomal RNA
Source: RNAcentral